Molecule: ribosomal RNA, 587 nt
Filed under: uncultured bacterium
Lineage: Bacteria
Description: bacterial SSU rRNA
Rfam family: Bacterial small subunit ribosomal RNA
Source: RNAcentral
AGAGUUUGAUCCUGGCUCAGGAUGAACGCUAGCUACAGGCUUAACACAUGCAAGUCGAGGGGCAGCAUGCUGGUAGCUUGCUACCAGUGAUGGCGACCGGCGCACGGGUGAGUAACGCGUAUCCAACCUUCCCAUGACCAGGGAAUAACCUUGCGAAAGUAAGACUAAUGCCCUAUGGUUUCCUCAGCGGACAUCCAAAGAGGAAUAAAGAUUCAUCGGUGAUGGAUGGGGAUGCGUCUGAUUAGGUUGUUGGCGGGGUAACGGCCCACCAAGCCAUCGAUCAGUAGGGGUUCUGAGAGGAAGGUCCCCCACAUUGGAACUGAGACACGGUCCAAACUCCUACGGGAGGCAGCAGUGAGGAAUAUUGGUCAAUGGGCGAGAGCCUGAACCAGCCAAGUAGCGUGCAGGACGACGGCCCUAUGGGUUGUAAACUGCUUUUAUACGGGAAUAAAGUGGGCCACGCGUGGCCUUUUGCAUGUACCGUAUGAAUAAGGACCGGCUAAUUCCGUGCCAGCAGCCGCGGUAAUACGGAAGGUCCGGGCGUUAUCCGGAUUUAUUGGGUUUAAAGGGAGCGUAGGCCGUCGCUU